This 253-nucleotide ribosomal RNA is filed under the name uncultured prokaryote. RNAcentral's name for it is "partial 16S ribosomal RNA". It matches the Rfam family "Bacterial small subunit ribosomal RNA", at positions 524 to 776 of the family's 1533-position model. The record is from RNAcentral.
UACGUAGGCAGCGAGCGUUGUUCGGAAUUACUGGGCGUAAAGAGUGUGUAGGCGGUGCUCCAAGUCUGUUGUGAAAUCUCCCGGCUCAACUGGGAGGGUGCGGCGGAAACUGGGGUGCUAGAGUAUGGGAGAGGGCAGUGGAAUUCCCGGUGUAGCGGUGAAAUGCGUAGAUAUCGGGAGGAACAUCAGUGGCGAAGGCGGCUGCCUGGCCCAAUACUGACACUCAGGUGCGACAGCGUGGGGAGCAAACAGG